Molecule: long non-coding RNA, 179 nt
Organism: Pipistrellus kuhlii (Kuhl's pipistrelle)
Lineage: Eukaryota; Metazoa; Chordata; Mammalia; Chiroptera; Vespertilionidae
Exons: 2
Source: RefSeq, a predicted model, not a curated record
GGCUCAAUGGAUAGAGCGUCAGCUUGGGGACUGAAGGGUCCCGGGUUCGAUUCUGGUCAAGAGCACAUGCAUGGGCUGCAGGCUCGGUCCAACGUGCAGGAGAGAGCCAAUCAAUGAUUCCCCCUCAUCAUUGAUGUUUCUAUCUCUCUAUCUCUCUCCCUCCCUCUCUGAAAUCAAUA